UGUUCAGCGUAUCGAAACCCGUUGCGAGAACUUGCUGCCUUUAUCCCGAGAGUAACGGUUCGAUCAGAAGCAUGCAGAUUUAUGUAAUGCCUCGGAGGGCGGACCGUUUUCCCACGGCGAUUGUUAUCGCGGUUUAACGAAUUCUGAAAACUUUGAUGGAAGCUGCUGAAGUCACUGCGUUCGAAUUUAAGAGCGGAGAGCAACAAAAAGAAACUGCAGAUUCUUUUAUCGACUAAAUAAGAAAGGAUUCCGGCUUCAUUAUUCUAGCAUUGUUCGACGGAUGCCUUUCAAGGAGAAGCAGAAAGAAAUCGUUUCAAUAACGAUCGCGAGACAAUAAAAAAUAUCUUUACCUUGGAAUAAAAGCGAUCGAUGUCGAAGAACACGGACGCGAUGUCGUUUCAUUUCACGCGCAAGAAAGGAAACGGACGUUAAAAGCUUGGCUCGACGACGUGAACCGGUCCGCGAAUCGCGGUGUUAACUUAAUUAAACGCAAUUUUAAAUUGGCGUCGCAGAGAGAAAGGUGAAUGGCGUGCCUUCUGCCAUCGAUUAAUUUGCUAAUUUAUAACGAGGAAAUUUUCCGAUGCAGACUAAUUGAAACGUUGCCGCGUCACUGAGAAUAAUGUCCGCACUUGUUCCGUUUAUUUCGUUGUGGCAUACCACGAAUUCUCUCUCUCUCUCUCUCCCAUUUGUAACACGGCAAAACAACUUUUGCAUAAUUUCGAGUUUGCUGAAUAUUAUAUUUUAUGUACACCACAUGCGUCCCGUUUUUUUCAUUCGAUUUACGUCGGCAGACAGUUCUCUGCGACGAAUAGAGCGUGUAAUCAACCUUUUUAAACACGGAUCAGAAUCAGCAAAAUCAUACGAUAAAUUAUUAUUUAAAGAGGAGUGGUCACACCUGCCUACGUUGCGAAUAUUUAUAUUUUUUUAUUUGCGGGGUAAACUCGUCAUAUUGUUACACAUGGAGUUCGAAGGAAAUUAGUAUAAUUAAACUGCGGAUGUUUAUUGUACGUUUGUUGAAAAUUUAAAUAAGGGAAAAUGUGAAAAUGUGAAAAUGUACAUAAUGUGCAAAAAAGCAUACAAAGUAUCCAAAGUAAAAUAUGUACUCGUAAUAAUAUUUCGAGGGUGAAAGAAAUUUCUAUUCAUGUUCCAGUGGUUUAGCGUUAUGAUCGUGUGAGUAUGAAUUUCUAUAAAAAUUCACAGUCCAACCAUAGUACACGCCACAGAGAGUGUUUCCAAGAUGAUAAGGAUUAACUAAAUAGAUCAUUUUCUGACGAACGAAGUUGGUACGAUUAAUCAUUCAAGAGCUGUAUACAAUAUAUUUGAAUGUUUCUUCAAGUAUAUGAUAAGUACAAUAUGUAAGCAAAAUAUUAGAAUGUAAAUUGAAGAAUAUACAACUUAAAACAUGUUCUUGAAAUUGAAAUGUCAGGCAAAUGUAACCAAUGUGACCGAGAGUGCUAAAAAUUCUCACUUUUAUUCAUUU
Long non-coding RNA from Bombus impatiens (common eastern bumble bee), 1480 nucleotides. RefSeq lists it as uncharacterized. The transcript is spliced from 2 exons. Lineage: Eukaryota; Metazoa; Arthropoda; Insecta; Hymenoptera; Apidae. The record is from RefSeq and is a predicted model, not a curated record.